Anolis sagrei ordinatus is the source of this 175-nucleotide non-coding RNA. The record is from RefSeq and is a predicted model, not a curated record. NCBI's taxonomy places the organism in Eukaryota, Metazoa, Chordata, Lepidosauria, Squamata, Anolidae.
UGCAGCCAAGAGGCAACCGAAAGCACGGAGCAUCAUUUAUCAUCACUAGAGCAAUUACAGGCCCUGCCUUAUUUUUACUUCGUUACUUAUGGUACAGUCCUGCAAAAUCUUCCCUCCCUGUUGGACUCAUCCGCCUGGUCAAUAAGCAGAUCAACUGGCAUUUAGUGCUUUCAAG